RNAcentral lists this ribosomal RNA (253 nucleotides) under uncultured bacterium. RNAcentral's name for it is "partial 16S ribosomal RNA". It matches the Rfam family "Bacterial small subunit ribosomal RNA", at positions 524 to 776 of the family's 1533-position model. The record is from RNAcentral.
UACGUAGGGUGCGAGCGUUGCCCGGAUUUAUUGGGCGUAAAGGGCGCGUAGGCGGCUCUGCACGUCCGUUGUGAAAUCGCCCGGCUCAACUGGGCGGGGUCAGCGGAUACGGCCGAGCUUGAGCAAGCUAGGGGGCAAUGGAAUUCCCGGUGUAGUGGUGGAAUGCGUAGAUAUCCGGAGGAACACCAGUGGCGAAGGCGGCUUCCUGGACCGACACUGACGCUGAGGCGCGAAAGCUAGGGGAGCAAACGGG